AUGAAAUCUUCAACCUACAAGCUUUUGUGGUUUGUAGGCUUGGACUUGGAGGCUUGUCGGCCGUUAUCGGUCGGCUCCUCUUAAAUGCAUUAGCUUGGUUCCUUGCGGAUCGGCUCUCGGUGUGAUAAUGUCUACGCCGCGACCGUGAAGCGUUUGGCGAGCUUCUAACCGUCCUUAUAAGACAGCUUUAUGACCU
RNAcentral lists this unclassified non-coding RNA (196 nucleotides) under Ganoderma lucidum. RNAcentral's name for it is "ITS2". The record is from RNAcentral. Lineage: Eukaryota; Fungi; Basidiomycota; Agaricomycetes; Polyporales; Polyporaceae.